RNAcentral lists this ribosomal RNA (420 nucleotides) under Blastocystis sp. RNAcentral's name for it is "SSU rRNA". It matches the Rfam family "Eukaryotic small subunit ribosomal RNA", at positions 509 to 940 of the family's 1831-position model. The record is from RNAcentral. Lineage: Eukaryota; Bigyra; Opalinata; Blastocystidae.
UUGGAUUGAGAACAACGUACAACUCUUAUCGAUAAGCCAUUGGAGGGCAAGUCUGGUGCCAGCAGCCGCGGUAAUUCCAGCUCCAAUAGCGUAUAUUAACGUUGUUGCAGUUAAAAAGCUCGUAGUUGAAGUGAGGGAGUGUGUGGGUAUGAGAGCUAGUCUCAAGUACUUACAACCUCCCCCCUCCAAUCGGUGUAGUGGGGUAUUCAGUUAUUCUACUACUCCUUUGGUCGUUUACUGUGAGAAAAUUAGAGUGUUCAAAGCGGGCGUUUGUUUGAAUAGAUUAGCAUGGAAUAAUGAUUGAAGGCUUUCGUGUUCGAUUUGAUUGGUUUGUUCAUGGAAGCAAGGUUAAAAGGAACAGUUGGGGGUAUUCAUAUUCACUAGUUAGAGGUGAAAUUCUCGGAUUUAUGGAAGAUGAAG